UACGUAGGGGGCAAGCGUUAUCCGGAUUUACUGGGUGUAAAGGGAGCGUAGACGGAUGGACAAGUCUGAUGUGAAAGGCUGGGGCUCAACCCCGGGACUGCAUUGGAAACUGCCCGUCUUGAGUGCCGGAGAGGUAAACGGAAUUCCUAGUGUAGCGGUGAAAUGCUUAGAUAUCACGAAGAACUCCGAUUGCGAAGGCAGCCUGCUAAGCUGCAACUGACAUUGAGGCUCGAAAGUGUGGGUAUCAAACAGG
RNAcentral lists this ribosomal RNA (253 nucleotides) under Blautia luti. Its description in RNAcentral is "partial 16S ribosomal RNA". It matches the Rfam family "Bacterial small subunit ribosomal RNA", at positions 524 to 776 of the family's 1533-position model. Lineage: Bacteria; Bacillati; Bacillota; Clostridia; Lachnospirales; Lachnospiraceae. The record is from RNAcentral.